AGAGUUUGAUCAUGGCUCAGGAUGAGCGCUAGCGGUGCGCCUAAUACAUGCAAGUCGAGCGAGGGCUUCGAGCCCGAGCGGCGGACGGCUGAGUAACACGUUGGUACCUACCCCAUACUCAGGGAUAAUUUCGCGAAAGCGAGACUAAUACCGGAUGGUCCCGAAAGGGUAAAGAUUUAUCGGUAUGGGAGGGGCCUGCGGCCUAUCAGGUAGUUGGUAAGGUAACGGCUUACCAAGCCUAUGACGGGUAGCUGGUGUGAGAGCAUGACCAGCCAGGAUGGAACUGAGACACGGUCCAUACUCCUACGGGGGGCAGCAGUAGGGAAUCUUCCGCAAUGGGCGAAAGCCUGACGGAGCGACACCGCGUGAAGGAUGACACCCCUCGGGGCGUAAACUUCUUUUCUGGGGGACCAAGUUCCGACAUUACCCCAGGAAUAAGCACCGGCUAACUACGUG
Molecule: ribosomal RNA, 456 nt
Filed under: uncultured bacterium
Lineage: Bacteria
Description: bacterial SSU rRNA
Rfam family: Bacterial small subunit ribosomal RNA
Source: RNAcentral